GCCAGCGGCCUUAGCACUUUGAAUGCACCAGUUCCCGAAGGGUCACUGAAGUUAAGCAACAUUGCGCGUGGUUGGUAUAUGGACGGGUGACCUUCUGAGCGUUAACAUUUGCGUCGCGACCU
This 122-nucleotide ribosomal RNA is filed under the name Diaphorina citri (Asian citrus psyllid). The record is from RNAcentral. Lineage: Eukaryota; Metazoa; Arthropoda; Insecta; Hemiptera; Psyllidae.